UAGUUCAGGUUCUGCCAAGAUACAACUGAUCCACGCGUCCAUUCAUUGGUUUUCCUUUACAAAAAUGUUUUGGUUUUUCAUGAAAGGCAGAACUGAGAAAUGAAGAAUCCACAAAGAAGAAAUGAAGCUGUGUCAAAACUGUAACAUGCCAUCCUUUCCAAAUAUCAAACGUGAAGUGAAAUCGGUAGGCUACAUGAUCUUUGAUUUAUGGCUUAAUUUCCCGGAAAGUCUCUGACGUAUUUAUCAGAAACAGUGAAGCCAGUUCAAGUCUACAAAAAUGGCAUUUACUAUAAAAACAAUGAAUAUUUGGAAAUGAUUUUCUGUUGCUGCUGCAAAAAAUCACUGAAGCAUCAGAGAGCACAUGCUGAUCCUGUGGCUCUGAAAUACUCUUUCCAUGAUGUCAUCAAGGCAUCCCACAAUGCACCUGUGAAGCUGCAGGUUCUGCAGAAGCGUUGUCUGGCUCCGGGAUGGUACGCCGCACGCCUCUCGCGCUGGCUCCAACACUACCACCACGAGCAGGUGUGUGUGUUUAACAGCAUACUCUAAUUCAGCAGACUCCUCCAUCCCUCACAGACUCUGGUUGUGGACGGCCAGACUCUGAAAACAGAUCCAGCUUCAGUCAUGGGGAAGAUCCAGACGUUUCUGGGUUUAGAGAAUCAAGUCGAUUAUCACAAGAUGCUAGCGUUUGACCCAAAGAAAGGCUUCUGGUGUCAGCUGCAAGGACAGAGAUACCCAGACACGGACAGACAAGUAACUCUUUUCACUCACUGAAUUUAAAAACAAGUAGAGGAAAUGUUCUAUUCAUCAGUCUCGGGUGUUUUUUGAGGAGCUACUACAGAGAUGCUAACAUCCAGCUCUCUAAACUGCUGUAUAAAAGGGGUGACCCUGGUUCUGCCCGGCUGGCUCAGAGAGGAUCUGCCUGACGUCAGGUAACAGAGGCUCUCGAUUGGUCAACACCACACACAUCUGGAGGCUCUGAGUCCACUGAUGGACCUACAGGAGGAACAAACCUCCUCUGACUGGAGCGUGUUCUUACAUAGAUGAGUUUGAACUAAAAGCUAAUUUAAAGAACUGGUUUAGUACUUUUAAAAUGUGCUGCUGAUACUAAUUUGGUAAUUCUUUAAAGUCCAGUAUUUAUGACUUUUGUCUGUCCUGUUAUUGACACUGGAUCAGACUCAAACAGACUGUGCUGAAAUAAUAUAAAGAUCCUCAAAUAUAUUGCUGCUGAAACAGAGAUGCUGGACAUUGUACCUUUCUUACUCAAAUUUGAUGCAGACUCUAUUUGAUUUUAUGAAGUCAAAAAUCAAGCCAACGACCUGUGACAUCUGAUACAGACUUUUGUACUUUUAGAUUUUACAUUUGUCACUAGUUCUCUGUUGUUGUUGUUUCUGUGUGUUCGUGGCAGUUUUACAUUUUCUAAUGUGGACGUUUACAGUCAGUUUACUCACCUUCAUGCCGCUUCAAACAGAGGACUUUCUUCUUCUGUGAAGCUUUGUUGAGCGCCAACAAUGACAGACAAGUACUAUCAAACAUUACUGCACUAUAUUCCAUCUUUUAGAAAUCAUGUAAGUGACAAACACAGCGAGCUGUCGUAAUGUUAUUCAAGUUCAUUGUGUGAAAUAUCAUCUUUUGUGUUUCACAGAAUAACUUUGAGGUUUGAACGACUUGAGUGUUAGCUAAUCAUUGUUUUUAGGUGAAUUAUCUAUUUAAAGUGGCAUCUCAUUAGCUAAGCAAUACAUAUAUUAGAGCAAAAUAAUACAUUUCUAGUGUGCUGUGACUCUUAUAAGUUUAAAGUGCCAUUUAAGUGUUAAUGUAAUUUUAAUGUAAUUUUAUUUGUUUUAUUUUCUCAUUGUCGUUGAAAAACAAAACUGGUGAUUUUUUUAAAGGUAAAUGUGUUAUUAAACCAUUAAACCAAUAGUUCACCCACAAUCUAAAAGGUAAUUUUGUUUGCCCUCAAUGUAAUUUGAAACUCAUGUAACUUAAGUAGAACACAAAAUGUCAUCAUGUUUAAUGUCAGAGAAAUCAAACAAACCACUGGCUCUCAUAACUGCAUUGUCUUUUACUGUUCCUGGCAUUUUUAUUUAGAUAUAUAUUUUUUUUUUCAUAAAGGUCACCUGUCAUUUGUGUUCACUGGAGCCGCUGUGAAUUUCUGUCAUGCAUGAAGGUGAAAUUUAUUAUACAUUAAGGAAUUGAAUAUUGGGCAGAUGAUAAAAAAAAUAAAAAAAAUCUCACUGGUGACCUUUGGAAAAUCGCUGUUUUAUUACUGCAGGGUUUCUAUGGUAGUGCCCAUAAACCACUGUAUUAACAGUUUCUAUGGAUUAUUGAUAUGGUAAUAUGAAUGUAUUUGUGCAGAUUGCAUGAUUCAGAAAUUAAUUCUCAUGUUGUCUUCUGUGAAAUUUGACCUGGUCAAACACAUGAAGAUUAGAGCAAAA
Carassius auratus (goldfish) is the source of this 2432-nucleotide long non-coding RNA. RefSeq lists it as uncharacterized. The record is from RefSeq and is a predicted model, not a curated record. Lineage: Eukaryota; Metazoa; Chordata; Actinopteri; Cypriniformes; Cyprinidae. The transcript is spliced from 3 exons.